AACGAACGCUGGCGGCAUGCCUAACACAUGCAAGUCGAACGAGCCCUUCGGGUCUAGUGGCGCACGGGUGCGUAACGCGUGGGAACCUGCCCUUAGGUUCGGAAUACCUCCCCGAAAGGGGUGCUAAUACCGGAUAAUGUCUUCGGACCAAAGAUUUAUCGCCUUUGGAUGGGCCAGCGUUGGAUUAGCUGGUUGGUAGGGUAACAGCCUACCACGGCGCCGAUCCAUAGCUGGUCUGAGAGGAUGAUCAGCCACACUGGGACUGGGACACGGCCCAGACUCCUACGGGAGGCAGCAGUGGGGAAUAGUGGACAAUGGGCGAAAGCCUGAUGCAGCUAUGCCGCGUGAGUGAUGAAGGCCGUAGGGUUGUAAAGCUCUUUUACCCGGGAUGAUAAUGACAGUACCGGGAGAAUAAGCCCCGGCUAACUCCGUG
RNAcentral lists this ribosomal RNA (433 nucleotides) under uncultured bacterium. Its description in RNAcentral is "partial 16S ribosomal RNA". It matches the Rfam family "Bacterial small subunit ribosomal RNA", at positions 29 to 507 of the family's 1533-position model. The record is from RNAcentral.